RNAcentral lists this ribosomal RNA (446 nucleotides) under uncultured bacterium. RNAcentral's name for it is "bacterial SSU rRNA". It matches the Rfam family "Bacterial small subunit ribosomal RNA", at positions 354 to 796 of the family's 1533-position model. The record is from RNAcentral.
GUAGGGAAUAUUGGGCAAUGGAGGCAACUCUGACCCAGCCAUGCCGCGUGCAGGAAGACGGUCCUCUGGAUUGUAAACUGCUUUUGAAUGGGAAGAACAUACGGUUUGCGAACCGUACUGACGGUACUAUUAGAAUAAGCACCGGCUAACUCCGUGCCAGCAGCCGCGGUAAUACGGAGGGUGCAAGCGUUAUCCGGAUUUAUUGGGUUUAAAGGGUGCGUAGGCGGCCUUAUAAGUCGGUGGUUAAAGGUAGCAGCUUAACUGUUUUACAUGCCAUCGAUACUGUAGGGCUUGAGUGAUUUGGAGGUAGCUAGAAUUCCCUGUGUAGCGGUGAAAUGCAUAGAUACGGGGAGGAAUACCGAUUGCGAAGGCAUGUUACUACGAAUUAACUGACGCUGAGGCACGAAAGCGUGGGGAUCAAACAGGAUUAGAUACCCGGGUAGUCC